Molecule: ribosomal RNA, 253 nt
Filed under: uncultured bacterium
Lineage: Bacteria
Description: partial 16S ribosomal RNA
Rfam family: Bacterial small subunit ribosomal RNA
Source: RNAcentral
UAAGUAGGGGGCAAGCGUUAUCCGGAAUCACUGGGUGUAAAGGGUGCGUAGGCGGUCAUGUAAGUCAGAUGUGAAAUACCGAAGCUCAACUUCGGGGCUGCAUUUGAAACUGUGUGACUAGAGUACAGGAGAGGUAAGUGGAAUUCCUAGUGUAGCGGUGAAAUGCGUAGAUAUUAGGAAGAACACCAGUGGCGAAGGCGACUUACUGGACUGAAACUGACGCUGAGGCACGAAAGCGUGGGGAGCAAACAGG